UACGUAGGGUGCGAGCGUUGUCCGGAAUUACUGGGCGUAAAGGGCGCGUAGGUGGUGGCUUAAGCGUGCGGUGAAAGCUCGGAGCUCAACUCCGAGUCGGCCGUGCGAACUGGGCUCACUGGAGCAUAGUAGAGGCAGGUGGAAUUCCGGGUGUAGCGGUGGAAUGCGUAGAGAUCCGGAAGAACACCGGUGGCGAAGGCGGCCUGCUGGGCUAUGGCUGACACUGAGGCGCGACAGCGUGGGGAGCAAACAGGG
This 255-nucleotide ribosomal RNA is filed under the name uncultured bacterium. RNAcentral describes it as "partial 16S ribosomal RNA". It matches the Rfam family "Bacterial small subunit ribosomal RNA", at positions 524 to 777 of the family's 1533-position model. The record is from RNAcentral.